Molecule: ribosomal RNA, 253 nt
Filed under: uncultured bacterium
Lineage: Bacteria
Description: partial 16S ribosomal RNA
Rfam family: Bacterial small subunit ribosomal RNA
Source: RNAcentral
UACGGGGGGGGCAAGCGUUGUCCGGAUUUAUUGGGCGUAAAGAGCGUGUAGGCGGCCAGGUAGGUCUGGUGUGAAAACUCGAGGCUUAACCUCGAGAUGUCAUCGGAAACCAUCUGGCUAGAGUCCGGAAGAGGAGAGUGGAAUUCCUGGUGUAGCGGUGAAAUGCGCAGAUAUCAGGAAGAACACCAAUGGCGAAAGCAGCUCUCUGGGACGGUACUGACGCUAAGACGCGAAAGCGUGGGGAGCGAACAGG